Molecule: ribosomal RNA, 1371 nt
Filed under: uncultured bacterium
Lineage: Bacteria
Description: bacterial SSU rRNA
Rfam family: Bacterial small subunit ribosomal RNA
Source: RNAcentral
GAUGAACGCUGGCGGCGUGCCUAAUACAUGCAAGUCGAGCGAACGGACGAGAAGCUUGCUUCUCUGAUGUUAGCGGCGGACGGGUGAGUAACACGUGGAUAACCUACCUAUAAGACUGGGAUAACUUCGGGAAACCGGAGCUAAUACCGGAUAAUAUUUUGAACCGCAUGGUUCAAAAGUGAAAGACGGUCUUGCUGUCACUUAUAGAUGGAUCCGCGCUGCAUUAGCUAGUUGGUAAGGUAACGGCUUACCAAGGCAACGAUGCAUAGCCGACCUGAGAGGGUGAUCGGCCACACUGGAACUGAGACACGGUCCAGACUCCUACGGGAGGCAGCAGUAGGGAAUCUUCCGCAAUGGGCGAAAGCCUGACGGAGCAACGCCGCGUGAGUGAUGAAGGUCUUCGGAUCGUAAAACUCUGUUAUUAGGGAAGAACAUAUGUGUAAGUAACUGUGCACAUCUUGACGGUACCUAAUCAGAAAGCCACGGCUAACUACGUGCCAGCAGCCGCGGUAAUACGUAGGUGGCAAGCGGUAUCCCGAAUUAUUGGGCGUAAAGCGCGCGUAGCGGUUUUUUAAGUCUGAUGUGAAAGCCCACGGCUCACCCGUGGAGGGUCAUUGGAAACUGGAAAACUUGAGUGCAGAAGAGGAAAGUGGAAUUCCAUGUGUAGCGGUGAAAUGCGCAGAGAUAUGGAGGAACACCAGUGGCGAAGGCGACUUUCUGGUCUGUAACUGACGCUGAUGUGCGAAGGCGUGGGGAUCAAACAGGAUUAGAUACCCUGGUAGUCCACGCCGUAAACGAUGAGUGCUAAGUGUUAGGGGGUUUCCGCCCCUUAGUGCUGCAGCUAACGCAUUAAGCACUCCGCCUGAGGAGUACGACCGCAAGGUUGAAACUCAAAGGAAUUGACGGGGACCCGCACAAGCGGUGGAGCAUGUGGUUUAAUUCGAAGCAACGCGAAGAACCUUACCAAAUCUUGACAUCCUUUGACAACUCUAGAGAUAGAGCCUUCCCCUUCGGGGGACAAAGUGACAGGUGGUGCAUGGUUGUCGUCAGCUCGUGUCGUGAGAUGUUGGGUUAAGUCCCGCAACGAGCGCAGCCCUUAAGCUUAGUUGCCAUCAUUAAGUUGGGCACUCUAAGUUGACUGCCGGUGACAAACCGGAGGAAGGUGGGGAUGACGUCAAAUCAUCAUGCCCCUUAUGAUUUGGGCUACACACGUGCUACAAUGGACAAUACAAAGGGCAGCGAAACCGCGAGGUCAAGCAAAUCCCAUAAAGUUGUUCUCAGUUCGGAUUGUAGUCUGCAACUCGACUACAUGAAGCUGGAAUCGCUAGUAAUCGUAGAUCAGCAUGCUACGGUGAAUACGUUCCUGGGUCU